Molecule: transfer RNA, 74 nt
Filed under: Thermoplasmata archaeon
Lineage: Archaea; Methanobacteriati; Thermoplasmatota; Thermoplasmata
Also listed under: 1 other name
Description: tRNA-Gly
Rfam family: tRNA
About the family: Transfer RNA (tRNA) molecules are approximately 80 nucleotides in length. Their secondary structure includes four short double-helical elements and three loops (D, anti-codon, and T loops). Further hydrogen bonds mediate the characteristic L-shaped molecular structure. tRNAs have two regions of fundamental functional importance: the anti-codon, which is responsible for specific mRNA codon recognition, and the 3' end, to which the tRNAs corresponding amino acid is attached (by aminoacyl-tRNA synthetases). tRNAs cope with the degeneracy of the genetic code in two manners: having more than one tRNA (with a specific anti-codon) for a particular amino acid; and 'wobble' base-pairing, i.e. permitting non-standard base-pairing at the 3rd anti-codon position.
Source: RNAcentral
GCGGGUGUAGUGUAGUCUGGCUAUCACUCAAGCUUGCCAAGCUUGUAACCCGGGUUCAAAUCCCGGCACCCGCA